Molecule: ribosomal RNA, 440 nt
Filed under: uncultured bacterium
Lineage: Bacteria
Description: partial 16S ribosomal RNA
Rfam family: Bacterial small subunit ribosomal RNA
Source: RNAcentral
CCUACGGGGGGCAGCAGUGGGGAAUAUUGCACAAUGGGGGAAACCCUGAUGCAGCGACGCCGCGUGAGUGAAGAAGUAUUUCGGUACGUAAAGCUCUAUCAGCAGGGAAGAAAAUGACGGUACCUGACUAAGAAGCUCCGGCGAAAUACUUGCUAGCAGCCGCGGUAAUACGUAGGGGGCAAGCGUUCUCCGGUUUUACUGGGUGGAACGGGAGCGUAGACGGCGGCGCAAGUCUGAAGUUAAAUACGUGGGCUUAACCAUGGAACUGCUAGGGAAACUGUGCAGCUGGAGUGCAGGAGAGGUAAGCAGAAUUCCUAGUGUAGCGGUGAAAUGCGUAGAUAUUAGGAGGAACACCAGUGGCGAAGGCGGCUAACUGGACGGUAACUGACGCUGAGGCUCGAAAGCGUGGGGAGCAAACAGGAUUAGAUACCCCAGUAGUC